UACAGAGGUCCCGAGCGUUGUUCGGAUUCAUUGGGCGUAAAGGGUGCGUAGGCGGUCUUCUAAGUUUGAUGUGAAAUCCCGGGGCUCAACCCUGGAAUUGCAUUGAAUACUGGAGGACUAGAGUCCCGGAGAGGAAACUGGAAUUUACGGUGUAGCAGUGAAAUGCGUAGAGAUCGUAAGGAAGACCAGUGGCGAAGGCGAGCUUCUGGACGGGUACUGACGCUGAGGCACGAAGGCCAGGGGAGCAAACGGG
RNAcentral lists this ribosomal RNA (253 nucleotides) under uncultured bacterium. Its description in RNAcentral is "partial 16S ribosomal RNA". It matches the Rfam family "Bacterial small subunit ribosomal RNA", at positions 524 to 776 of the family's 1533-position model. The record is from RNAcentral.